CGUAGGGGGCAAGCGUUGUCCGGAAUUAUUGGGCGUAAAGCGCGUGUAGGCGGCUCGGUAAGUCUGCUGUGAAAGUCCAGGGCUCAACCCUGGAAUGCCGGUGGAUACUGUCGAGCUCGAGUCCGGAAGAGGCGAGUGGAAUUCCUGGUGUAGCGGUGAAAUGCGCAGAUAUCAGGAGGAACACCAAUGGCGAAGGCAGCUCGCUGGGACGGUACUGACGCUGAGACGCGAAAGCGUGGGGAGCAAACAGGAUUAGAUACCCUGGUAGUCCACGCCGUAAACGAUGGGUACUAGGUGUAGGGGGUGUCGACUCCCCCUGUGCCGACGCUAACGCAUUAAGUACCCCGCCUGGGGAGUACGGCCGCAAGGCUA
RNAcentral lists this ribosomal RNA (372 nucleotides) under uncultured organism. Its description in RNAcentral is "bacterial SSU rRNA". It matches the Rfam family "Bacterial small subunit ribosomal RNA", at positions 526 to 896 of the family's 1533-position model. The record is from RNAcentral.